This is a long non-coding RNA of Gadus morhua (Atlantic cod), 1515 nucleotides long. RefSeq lists it as uncharacterized. The transcript has 2 exons. The record is from RefSeq and is a predicted model, not a curated record. Lineage: Eukaryota; Metazoa; Chordata; Actinopteri; Gadiformes; Gadidae.
AGUCAGACAGCACCAACCCUUCUGCAACAUCAGGCCAUCAGGAACUGUUUCCUGACAGCGGCUUGUUUGUCUCUUCCUUCCGACUUCCUGCUAUGCACCAGUCAGCGAGACAGGACUCAAUGCGUCUGUUUCACUCACUGUUUGACCACUUCUUCACUGUGGAAGAGUGUCAGAAAUCUGUUGCUUUUGGUCGCCAUGGCAAGCCCCCAGAAGGAAAGAAGCUGCUUGAAAGGAAGAAGGUGGACGGAAUUCUAACCUAUGUCCUGAGAUGUGCAACCAUGCCAGGUUGGACAAAAAUUGAUGACAGCAAACUGAAGAAGGCCUUCAUAAACAAAUGUAGGGCCAGAGCAGGAGAGAACAGCAGUAGACCUGAAUGCACUCCUUAGCAAUGGUCGCUGUUUGUUGAGUUGUUGGUGAUGUCCCCUUUCCCCAGUCUUCAGUUUCACCAGGCUGGACUUUUUGUCCCGUUUUAUUGCACUUAGCAGGCAAGUCCCUGCAAUAGUUAGCACUUUACAUAGAAACCUUUCUCUGCUGGUUCCACAGGUUAUUUAUUUUUAUUUCAAGUGAAAUGUUUGGUUUUAUAUUUUAUAUAAAGUGUAUAAGUGUUUUAAUGUGCCCCAGUUUAACAUGUCCCCUUUCCCCAGGCUUAAAGGUAUAGUUCGGUAUUUUUGAACCUGGGCCUUAUUUCUGUCAUGGGGUGCCUUAAUCUACUAAUUGGUAGCAUUUUGGUGAAGAUCGGCGUAGUUUUGACGUUGUUCAGACCAUCCCGAUCGAGCGUAUAUCCAUAUGACGGGAGUAAGCCGGGCACAGACAAUACAGCCUCUAAAUAAGUCAUUAGGUCUUUAUUUCACCAAUGCUUUAAGAUGAAUGAAGGAAUGAACGCGUGCUACCGCCCCGUUAGCUCAGAGUGAGCUCAGAGCUGCCGUGUUGUUAUUAUUGAUCCGGUUCACUUGGGAUCAGCUGGGCUCUAGCGCCCCCGUCGAUGACGUCAUCCCAGGUGAACCGGUUGUAGAAAAGCCUCAAUAACAACAACACGGCAGCUCUGAGCUAACGGGGCGGUAGCACGCGUUCAUUCCUUCAUUCAUCUUAAAGCAUUGGUGAAAUAAAGACCUAAUGACUUAUUUAGAGGCUGUAUUGUCUGUGCCCGGCUUACUCCCGUCAUAUGGAUAUACGCUCGAUCGCGAUGGUCUGAACAGCGUCAAAACUACGCCGAUCUUCACCAACAUGCUACCAAUUAGUAGAUUAAGGCACCCCAUGACAUAAAUAAGGCCCAGGUUAAAAAAAAAAAAACUAUUCCUUUUAAGUUUCACCAGGCUGGACAUUCUUGUUUCCUGUUUUAUUGCACUUAGCAGGCAAGUCCCUGCAAUAGUUAGCACUUUAUAUAGAAACCUGUCUCUGCUGGUUGCACAGGUUAUUUAUUUUUAUUUCAAGUGAAAUGUUUGGUUUUAUAUUUUAUAAAGCGCUGUAAUGUGCCCCAGUGUUUAUAAAAGAGUAAAAUUUGCACUGAUAAACUGA